This 31-nucleotide small RNA is filed under the name Bombyx mori (domestic silkworm). RNAcentral describes it as "ovarian small RNA-36735". Lineage: Eukaryota; Metazoa; Arthropoda; Insecta; Lepidoptera; Bombycidae. The record is from RNAcentral.
UUAGUAAAAAAAAACUCACGCUUGCUAGUUC